AUUAACGCUGGCGGCGUGCAUAACCCAUGCCAGUCGCACGAUGAAACUUUAAUGAACCCUUCGGGGAGAAUUAAAGCGGAUUAGUGGCGAACGGGUGAGUAACGCGUGAGUAACCUGCCUUACACAAGGGGAUAGCCUUUGGAAACGAAGAAUAAUACCCUAUAAAACCAUAAAAGCACAUGCAAUUAUGGUCAAAGUGAUAGCGGUGUAAGAUGGACUUGCGUCUGAUUAGCUAGUUGGUGAGAUAAAAGCCCACCAAGGCAACGAUCAGUAGCCGGCUUGAGAGAGUGUACGGCCACAUUGGGACUGAGACACGGCCCAGACUCCUACGGGAGGCAGCAGUGGGGAAUUUUGCACAAUGGGGGAAACCCUGAUGCAGCGACGCCGCGUGAUUUAGAAGGCCUUCGGGUUGUAAAAAUCUUUUGUAUAGGAAGAAAAUGACAGUACUAUACGAAUAAGGUCCGGCUAAUUACGUG
Molecule: ribosomal RNA, 476 nt
Filed under: uncultured bacterium
Lineage: Bacteria
Description: partial 16S ribosomal RNA
Rfam family: Bacterial small subunit ribosomal RNA
Source: RNAcentral